UUUAACGGCCGCGGUAUCCUAACCGUGCAAAGGUAGCGCAAUCAAUUGUCCCAUAAAUCGGGACCUGUAUGAAUGGCUAAACGAGGUCUUAACUGUCUCUUACAGGCAAUCGGUGAAAUUGAUCUCCCUGUGCGAAAGCAGGGAUGCACACAUAAGACGAGAAGACCCUGUGGAACUUCAAAAACAGCAACCACCCCAAAAUACAUCCACCCCCACCCCGGGCUCACUUAUCCCCACGGGCUAUUGGUUUGCAUUUUUUCGGUUGGGGCGACCUUGGAGCAAAACAGAACCUCCAAAGACCAACCCUCUAGACUGAGAGCGACCUCUCAACGUGCUAAUAGCACCCAGACCCAAUAUAAUUGAUCAAUGGACCAAGCUACCCCAGGGAUAACAGCGCAAUCUCCUCCAAGAGUCCAUAUCGACGAGGAGGUUUACGACCUCGAUGUUGGAUCAGGACAUCCUAGUGGUGCAGCCGCUACUAA
RNAcentral lists this ribosomal RNA (482 nucleotides) under Phylloscopus bonelli. RNAcentral's name for it is "partial 16S ribosomal RNA". It matches the Rfam family "Bacterial large subunit ribosomal RNA", at positions 1923 to 2568 of the family's 2925-position model. Lineage: Eukaryota; Metazoa; Chordata; Aves; Passeriformes; Phylloscopidae. The record is from RNAcentral.